AGGAGCCGUGUAAUGGGGAAACCAUUACGCACGGUUUUGAAGACCAGUGGGACUGGUAACAGUCUCACUGAGUUUAAU
RNAcentral lists this non-coding RNA (78 nucleotides) under Pleurocapsa sp. PCC 7327. The record is from RNAcentral. Lineage: Bacteria; Bacillati; Cyanobacteriota; Cyanophyceae; Pleurocapsales; Pleurocapsaceae.